Caenorhabditis elegans is the source of this 201-nucleotide non-coding RNA. The record is from Ensembl. Lineage: Eukaryota; Metazoa; Nematoda; Chromadorea; Rhabditida; Rhabditidae.
CCUUCCGUCCCUUUAUUACACUACGAAUCGAUAAUUGCGUUGUGCUCAUUGAGCAGAGAGAGAGAGGCGCUCUCGAAAAACGUCUUCACCGCUCCAGUUGGUCGAACCGCGGUCGGAUCGAGUGAAGACGGACCAGCUGUCGACCGCUUUUUGCCUCUACCUCACUCAAUCUCUCUUCACACUGUUUUUGCGCGCACAUUG